CCUACGGGAGGCAGCAGUGAGGAAUAUUGGUCAAUGGACGAGAGUCUGAACCAGCCAAGUAGCGUGAAGGAUGACUGCCCUAUGGGUUGUAAACUUCUUUUAUAAAGGAAUAAAACGAGGCACGUGUGCCUUUUUGCAUGUACUUUAUGAAUAAGGAUCGGCUAACUCCGUGCCAGCAGCCGCGGUAAUACGGAGGAUCCGAGCGUUAUCCGGAUUUAUUGGGUUUAAAGGGAGCGUAGAUGGGUUGUUAAGUCAGUUGUGAAAGUUUGCGGCUCAACCGUAAAAUUGCAAUUGAUACUGGGAGUCUUGAGUACAGUUGAGGUAGGCGGAAUGCGUGGUGUAGCGGUGAAAUGCUUAGAUAUCACGAAGAACCCCGAUUGCGAAGGCAGCUUACUAAACUGUGACUGACGUUGAUGCUCGAAAGUGUGGGUAUCAAACAGGAUUAGAUACCCUUGUAGUC
Molecule: ribosomal RNA, 460 nt
Filed under: uncultured bacterium
Lineage: Bacteria
Description: partial 16S ribosomal RNA
Rfam family: Bacterial small subunit ribosomal RNA
Source: RNAcentral